Molecule: long non-coding RNA, 1069 nt
Organism: Capsicum annuum
Lineage: Eukaryota; Viridiplantae; Streptophyta; Magnoliopsida; Solanales; Solanaceae
Exons: 3
Source: RefSeq, a predicted model, not a curated record
UCUAGUUAAUAUGCAAAUUUAAGAUUGACAAAAUGCCAACAAGGGUUGUACUAUCACAGCAUGAAACUAUUGUACUGCAUGCUUCACAAAAUAUACAAGGGAAAUUUUUCAUUUUACUUUCUUUUCUGGCCUUUUUACUUGAUGGUGAGGCACGUGGAAGGCUACGUGUUGAGUAUCAACUACUUGCUAUAUAUAUAUUGAACAAUGCAGCCAAUGUUGCACCACUUUGUAAGACUAUCGACAUCUCUCUUUCACAGUCCUCACUUGGAAAAUUGAAAUUAUUGGGUCUCUGAUUUUUACAGGUCUACGCAUAUCUCCACCAGAACUUGCACUAACGUUGGAGCCUUUAUCUGAAGCUGAGUAAAUUCUAUGCAUAUAUCUUUCUGUUUUUAGGAGAAGUAAAAUUUAGUUUUCAAGAUUGUGCAAAGGGGCGGCAUUUGUUAAAUUUUGAAACCUCAUAUGCCCUUCCUUGAUUGGAAUUUUUUCCGCAUUAGUGUAACCUUUAACCUGGACUAUUUUAUGGAAAAAGUUAUUUGGUCAUUGAAUAUCAGGUUAAAACCUCAACUUCCUUGAAAAGAUAUCGCUGACUUUUGCCUACAUUUUGAUAAGUUACAAGGUUUUGCCAAUUUUCUUGCUCCCCAAAGUGUUCUUUAUUAGGACAUCAGAUUUCUAUUGUAGAAGCAAUAGCUGCCGAAUUUGAACCAAGAAGUGAUUUUGAGAAAAAGUUGCUUCUCUUUUCAAUGACCAUGAAGUUGUUGAAGCUCAUAGAAAAGAUGGUGCAAUACUUCUUGAACUUAAUAAGGACUGGAGAAUGUGAACGAGACAACAAGGACAAGAAAUUUAGGUUGGGGCCGUGAUUGAUAUGUUUUCGAGUAGCUUUAUCCGUCGGAGCAGUUACAAUUGCUUCAGCUGGAGCUAUUAAGCACUGCAGGCCAAGGUCAACGUGGAGAGAUUUAAUUGCAGAAUAUGUAUAUGUAGUUCAUAUAUGUAUAAUGGUUAAGUGGUCUUAUAUACUUGUAACUAAAAAAUCAAUAGUGCACAUAUUAUACAUAGCACAAAAAUUUAUCAA